GGAGGGAGCUAGCGUUGUUCGGAAUUACUGGGCGUAAAGCGCACGUAGGCGGCUAUUCAAGUCAGAGGUGAAAGCCCGGGGCUCAACCCCGGAACUGCCUUUGAAACUAGAUAGCUUGAAUCCAGGAGAGGUGAGUGGAAUUCCGAGUGUAGAGGUGAAAUUCGUAGAUAUUCGGAAGAACACCAGUGGCGAAGGCGGCUCACUGGGCUGGUAUUGACGCUGAGGUGCGAAAGCGUGGGGAGCAAACAGGGAUUAGAUACCCUGGUAGUCCACGCCGUAAACGAUGAUAACUAGCUGUCAGGGCACAUGGUGUUUUGGUGGCGCAGCUAACGCAUUAAGUUAUCCGCCUGGGAGUACGGUCGCAAGAUUA
This 370-nucleotide ribosomal RNA is filed under the name uncultured organism. RNAcentral's name for it is "partial 16S ribosomal RNA". It matches the Rfam family "Bacterial small subunit ribosomal RNA", at positions 527 to 896 of the family's 1533-position model. The record is from RNAcentral.